AAUAAACGCUGGCGGCGUGCCUAACACAUGCAAGUCGAGCGAGAAAGCUCCUUCGGGAGUGAGUAAAGCGGCAAACGGGUGAGUAACGCGUGGGAAUCUACCUUUCAGUGAGGAAUACCCUCGAGAAAUCGAGGUUAAUACUGCAUACGUCCCUACGGGGAGAAAGGCGGCCUCUUUGCUGUCGCUGAAAGAUGAGCCUGCGUACUAUUAGCUAGUUGGUAGGGUAAUGGCCUACCAAGGCGAUGAUGGUUAGCCGGCCUGAGAGGGUGUACGGCCACACUGGAACUUAGACACGGUCCAGACUCCUACGGGAGGCAGCAGUGAGGAAUCUUGCUCAAUGGGCGAAAGCCUGAAGCAGCGACGCCGCGUGAAGGAUGACGGUCUUCGGAUUGUAAACUUCUGUUAAGUGGGAAGAAAUCUCUAUUUCUAAUACAGAUAGAGGAUGACGGUACCAUUAGAGAAAGCACUGGCUAAUCUCGUGCCAGCAGCCGCGGUAACAC
This 500-nucleotide ribosomal RNA is filed under the name uncultured bacterium. RNAcentral's name for it is "bacterial SSU rRNA". It matches the Rfam family "Bacterial small subunit ribosomal RNA", at positions 29 to 526 of the family's 1533-position model. The record is from RNAcentral.